This 285-nucleotide ribosomal RNA is filed under the name Triticum aestivum (bread wheat). RNAcentral describes it as "partial small subunit ribosomal RNA". Lineage: Eukaryota; Viridiplantae; Streptophyta; Magnoliopsida; Poales; Poaceae. The record is from RNAcentral.
AUCCUUCAGUGUUCACCUUCUCUGUUUCACUGUGCAUGACCAGACUUGGUCUCUUGUGCAGCAAGAUAUUACAAUACCAUGUAUUGGAAAGUGGAGUGAGUCACUUUCAUACAUAUGUUUAGAUAGGCACACUUAUAUACAUACAUUAACUAGUCAAGCGUUCAAAUUAUUCCGAGAUUGAUGAUACAAUGCUGUUCUGUGUUGCUAGUAAAUAAUUCCAUGAUCUGUUGAUUCUAUGGGGAGGACAAGCAACUUUGGUAAGUUGAUUACGGAAUGAUGUCUUCG